This 298-nucleotide ribosomal RNA is filed under the name uncultured soil bacterium. RNAcentral describes it as "partial 16S ribosomal RNA". It matches the Rfam family "Bacterial small subunit ribosomal RNA", at positions 26 to 337 of the family's 1533-position model. The record is from RNAcentral.
AGAUUGAACGCUGGCGGCAUGCCUAACACAUGCAAGUCGAACGGGAGUAGCAAUACUCUAGUGGCGGACGGGUGAGGAAUACGUAGGAAUUUGCCCUUAAGUGGGGGAUAACCCGGGGAAACCCGGAUUAAUACCGCAUGACCUCGGAAGAGCAAAGUGGGGGAUCGCAAGACCUCACGCUUUUGGAGAAGCCUACGUCGGAUUAGCUAGUUGGUGAGGUAAUGGCUCACCAAGGCGACGAUCCGUAACUGGUCUGAGAGGAUGAUCAGUCACACCGGAACUGAGACACGGUCGGACU